This 1143-nucleotide long non-coding RNA is filed under the name Olea europaea subsp. europaea. The record is from RNAcentral. Lineage: Eukaryota; Viridiplantae; Streptophyta; Magnoliopsida; Lamiales; Oleaceae.
UAACGCCUGGGCACCCAAACUUUGUUCAAAUUUUCUAUUUUCCAACAUAAUGGUGCCUGCGCGCUUGGAUGGUAGCGCUCUAUAUACGUAAACGUUUCAGUUGAUAGCCUUUCGAAAAGCCCUCUCAGCUAAAUACAGUUGUUUUAGGCCGAACAAAGGAAAGUGACUUUGUUUAGGUGCAUAGCAAGGAACUUGAUCCCACUUCUUCGUCAUCAACUAAGAUAGUGACUAGCUGGUCAUAGAUAAUGAACUUUGCCUUUUGGUGCAGCGUAGAUGGGCUGUACACAAUUCUCCUUUUUUCAUGCAACUUUGGCUCAUUCCUAGUAUUCUUUGCCUAUUUUCAGGUCAUCCUCUUCUUGGUUCAUGUCAACAUCACUCUUUUGUUCAUUGUCUUGAACAAUUGCACAAUUUUCGCCAAUUCAUCUAACCUACAAUACAACACAAAAAUACACAUCAAAACAUUUAAAAACCCAAAAAACGAAACGGAAUAUCAAGUUUAGUUAAUCUUACUAUUAGAGUAAAACACCCUCAUCAGAACACUAAUUUUAAAACAAAAGUUCACCAAAUACUCAUCUGGUUCUUUCUCUAGUAUAUUUGUAACUAAUUCUCUUUAAAGUAUAAUGAUUGAAAUUUUUUCUCAAUGCAUAAAAUUAUUUGCCAACAUAUAGGAUCAAAUAGAGCCAUCGGUCAUUAGAUAUUAAUGUUUAUGACAACAUAAAAUUGUAACUCGCUUUUUGUGCAUUUUAUCAUACAAUUCAGUAGUCCAUUUUAAUAUACCAGGAUAUAUAUAUACUGUUUGUACGAUGCCUAAGGUUUCUGGGCCAGCCUUAUAAGUCAUACCUACUGUUGGAAUAUUGUUCAACAACUAAUAAAAUGUGUAUGGAAUGAAAAUUGAAACCGGAGGCCAAAGAUGUGAAUGGCCUAUGCGGUUGCAUAGUGAUAUGCCUAAUGGCCCUGCCGUUAAAUAAAGUAUACUGUUGCAUAGGAUUGGCCUCUACGACUGCAUAGAACAACAUUAUGGCUGUUAUUAUUUGAAUUCUGGAAGCUUUUCAUUUGUUUUUGGCACUAAUUCGUGGAGAAUAGUUGAGACCUAUAUAUAUAUAUGUGGUUAAGGUUCAUUAUGAAAUAUAUGAAAAGCCAAUU